This is an RNA transcript of Bombus impatiens (common eastern bumble bee), 1109 nucleotides long. It is a transcript of the gene named nuclear migration protein nudC, with no coding region annotated. The record is from RefSeq and is a predicted model, not a curated record. The transcript is spliced from 7 exons. Lineage: Eukaryota; Metazoa; Arthropoda; Insecta; Hymenoptera; Apidae.
UUCAAAAUUAUGUUUGGUCGAUAAUUCGAGAUGUUUCUCAUUAAAACGUGGUAACGAAGUGCGUUGGUUUUCAACGUCAGUAGACGUUUCGUGUGAUUUGUUCGUUGAUAUUAAUUAAAUAUUCUUCUAAUCUUGAAGAAAAAUGACAAAGAACGAGGAGAAAUUCGAUGGAAUGUUGCUGGCUAUGGCUCAGCAACACGAAGGCGGUGUGCAAGAGCUCCUAGACACAAUCUUCAGUUUUCUUGCGAGGAAAACGGAUUUCUACACGGGAGGAGGGGAAGGAGCUGCAGAGAAGCUUGUUAUGAGCAAAUUUAAGAAGCACGAAGCUACGGCUGUUACCAAAGCAGCUGGUGAAAAGGCAGAGCGUGCAGAGCAAGAGAGACGUCGCAAAGAAAGAAUAGAAAAGAGAAAGAAAGAAGAAAAGGCUAAGGAGGAAAAGUUCUACUCAGAGUCAAAGAUUGUCGAACUGACUGAUGAACAGGCUGUUAAGUUACAAGAAGAGAUAGACAAUAAGAAAUCGGCAAAAGAAUCACUUGCUGUUCCUGGUCCAAGUGGUGAUAAUGCGCAUAAUGGUCAUAAUGAGCAUAAUAGUGAUAAUGCGCAUAAUGGUAAAAAUGAGGAAAUAGAAGAUGAGGAAGAAGAUGAGAAGGAAAAGAACAAACUUCGGCCUAACAGUGGAAAUGGCGCAGACUUGCCCAAUUACAGAUGGACUCAGACACUUCAGGAUUUGGAGAUCAAAGUACCUCUGAAAGUGAACUUCUCGGCCAGGCCCAAGGACGUUGCCGUCACGAUGACGAAGAAGCGGCUGCAAGGGUCAGCCGCCGAUCAUCGACGGUGAUUUUCCACACGAGGUCAAAGUGGAAGAAUCCACUUGGGUGAUCGAGGAUGGAAAAUUGCUGUUGAUCAACCUGGAGAAGGUGAACAAAAUGCAAUGGUGGGCGCAUGUGGUGACCUGUGACCCAGAGAUCAGCACGAAGAAAGUGAAUCCUGAGCCUAGUAAACUCUCCGAUCUCGACGGUGAAACCAGAGGUCUGGUGGAGAAGAUGAUGUACGAUCAGAGACAGAAGGAACUGGGCCUGCCAACGUCCGACGAACAGAAGAAGCAAGAU